AUGCUUCUAUUUGAUGGACCUGGAGCAGUUACUAACUGCUGCUAAAGUUUCUAUUAUAUUACCAAUGCAAGAAAAAAGUAUCCUUGAGCCUUCUGUCUGAUUGUGGCAGCCAAGAUUGAAUAGAGGAGUAAUGGC
This 135-nucleotide small nucleolar RNA is filed under the name Aotus nancymaae (Ma's night monkey). RNAcentral's name for it is "Small nucleolar RNA SNORA31 (ENSANAG00000014031.1)". Lineage: Eukaryota; Metazoa; Chordata; Mammalia; Primates; Aotidae. The record is from RNAcentral.